UUUACUAAACUGCAAAUUGAAAGCAUAAAAAUUUUGGACAACCUGCCUAUAGGGACACUUAGAAGACUUUCAAGAAGAAAGUUCUGAUUUCCAAUUAUGGAAAUCAAGAGUAUACCAUCUCAUUUGAGUUAUUAAAGUUCUUUGCCAUUUAUCAGAAAUGUUUAUGCUAGUGGCUCUUCAGGAAACACUAAAUUGUAUUUUACAACCACCAAUAAACAUGUGUUUUCCAAAGUAAUGAUAAUAUUUACUUGUAACCUAGUAAACAGUUGUAAUUUUAAAUAUAAUCACAUUAUGAUUUUUUUCUUUACACUUAAAAUAUACUUAUUUUUUUUUAAUUAUUUUAAUAAUUUUAGAUUCCUCAGCAGGAAAUGGGGUCCUCACUAAAGCUACAGUCCCCAUUUAUGCAACAGGAGUCCUUACGUGUUAUAUUCAGGAAGAAGACCGAAAACUGUUAGUUGGAUUCUUAGAAGACGUAAUGACGCUGCUUUCAUUAUCU
RNAcentral lists this small RNA (496 nucleotides) under Pongo abelii (Sumatran orangutan). Its description in RNAcentral is "retained intron". Lineage: Eukaryota; Metazoa; Chordata; Mammalia; Primates; Hominidae. The record is from RNAcentral.